AGUGAACGCUGGCGGUAGGCCUAACACAUGCAAGUCGAACGGCAGCACAGUAAGAGCUUGCUCUUACGGGUGGCGAGUGGCGGACGGGUGAGGAAUACAUCGGAAUCUACUUUUUCGUGGGGGAUAACGUAGGGAAACUUACGCUAAUACCGCAUACGACCUACGGGUGAAAGCAGGGGAUCUUCGGACCUUGCGCGAUUGAAUGAGCCGAUGUCGGAUUAGCUAGUUGGCGGGGUAAAGGCCCACCAAGGCGACGAUCCGUAGCUGGUCUGAGAGGAUGAUCAGGCACACUGGAACUGAGACACGGUCCAGACUCCUACGGGAGGCAGCAGUGGGGAAUAUUGGACAAUGGGCGCAAGCCUGAUCCAGCCAUACCGCGUGGGUGAAGAAGGCCUUCGGGUUGUAAAGCCCUUUUGUUGGGAAAGAAAAGCAGCAGGUUAAUACGCCGCUGUUCUGACGGUACCCAAAGAAUAAGCACCGGCUAACUUCGUG
RNAcentral lists this ribosomal RNA (492 nucleotides) under uncultured bacterium. Its description in RNAcentral is "partial 16S ribosomal RNA". It matches the Rfam family "Bacterial small subunit ribosomal RNA", at positions 29 to 507 of the family's 1533-position model. The record is from RNAcentral.